AUGUACCAGCACCACUGCGCCAAUGCAACGGACCGCGGCGACUUCCACCAUGACGGCCUCCACAUCUUCGUGCGCGCCUGGCGCCUGGAAGCCCAUGCUGAGAAUGAAGACCAGCUGCAUCACGUGCGCCUCUGCAUCGAAGGAAUUCCUGUCCAUGGCUGGAACAACUACGUCGCCACGUUCGUCAUUGGGCACGGCUGCUCUCUGGACUACAUCGAGAACAGGUCGCUACGAAGGGAGGACACGAGGUACCUCGCGCUGUGGGCGUGGACCGCCAACCCCGACGCGAUCCUGAAGGUCAAGUGGCUCACUUUGCCGGCACGCGGCCAGCGGCGGCGUGGGCGGCGUGGCCUGCGGCACCGCGUGCUCAGUCAUCUGGACCUGCACGAGGACCACUCCAACGCACGCGAAGAUGACGACAAUCCUCCCACCCCAGACGUGAACGAGUUCACCUGGUACCCAGACAUCGUCAACGGUGCUCCGCCUCCUGGCCGCCGGCGCAUGGCUCCAGCUGCUCGCGACGACCGCCGCAACACGCGGCGCGACGACGCUGACGACUGCGAUAGCGGCCGUAGUAGAGAUGGCUCAAGAGGUCAGACAGGGUGGGGCGACUGCAUCCGCCGGUCUCUCUCCCGCAACGCGCGGGAGCGCCAGCGCGGGGCGGACCAGGACCGCUCUCGUGAUCGCUCUGGUGGUGGCCGCCGCCACGAUGUCGCGCCCACGGGUCUGCUUGCGGCAAUCACCACCAGGGAUGAGGUCACGGGACGCAGCCCGGUGCGUCAGGCGUCUCCACGAUCUGGCCGCCGUCUCUCCCGCGACAACCUCACGGCGCCCAACUCCCCGACGUCGGUGCUGCCAUCAACGCCUGGUUCUAAGCAUGGUGGCUCGGCUGCGUCCUCGAUGUCCGCGACGGCGCGGGGCGCCGUCGUGAUCUGCGCUCUGGCUCACCUCGUAUCCCCGCUGCCAUUGCUUUCCCCGGCUCACCCCCUGGCUUCAAGGCAUCCCCAACCUCGACGACGACGCCGCCACUACCGCUGGUGUCAUCCCACACCCCUGCCGCCCCUGUGGCCACGGUGCUGGUGCCGGAAGACACCACUCCUCUGUUUCUGCCGUGCCCUGAGCCUAUCAUCGCGGAGCCCCCAAGGGCUUCCCUACCGCUGA
RNAcentral lists this ribosomal RNA (1161 nucleotides) under Triticum aestivum (bread wheat). RNAcentral describes it as "partial small subunit ribosomal RNA". The record is from RNAcentral. Lineage: Eukaryota; Viridiplantae; Streptophyta; Magnoliopsida; Poales; Poaceae.